GAUGAAGAACGCAGCGAAAUGCGAUAAGUAAUGCGAAUUGCAGAAUCCGUGAGUCAUCGAAUCUUUGAACGCACAUUGCGCCCUUUGGUAUUCCGAAGGGCAUGCCUGUUCGAGCGUCAUUAUCACCACUCAGGCCCGGCUUGCUGUUGGUGGCAGCGCAGCCGGUCAACCGGCUACGCUCCACCCAAAGAUAAUGACGGCGUCUGCGAGGACUCCUGUACAUUGAGCUUUCGGGCACGUACAUGGCUAGAAGUCCAGGCGCCGGUCGACGUCCUCCGGGACACUUUUUACCAAGGUUGACCUCGGAUCAGGUAGGGAUACCCGCUGAACUUAAGCAUAUCAAUAAGCGGAGGA
RNAcentral lists this unclassified non-coding RNA (354 nucleotides) under soil metagenome. RNAcentral describes it as "partial contains 5.8S ribosomal RNA, internal transcribed spacer 2, and large subunit ribosomal RNA". The stretch from base 1 to 119 matches the Rfam family "5.8S ribosomal RNA", at positions 35 to 154 of the family's 154-position model. The record is from RNAcentral.